UUUAUUUGAAAUAAAAUAUAUUUUUUAUUUAUGUAUAAUUUAUUAUAAUUGGAUAAUAAGUAAAGUAAUAUUUAAUUUUAUUUUAAAAUGUUUUAGUAUUUUAAAUUUUAAAUUAAUAGUUUAUUUUUUAAAUGUAAAUGGAAUUAAUGAAAUAUUUUAAAUAUUUAAAAUUUUAUAAGUAAAAUUAAAUUUUUGUACCUUUUGUAUCAGGGUUUAUUAAAAAUAAAUUAAAUAUUUAAUUUUUCUCGAAUUAAUUAGAGUUAAUAUAUUAUAUAGGUUAAUGUUUAAUUAUUAUUUAAAAUAAUAUAUUAGAGGAGAAAUUCUAUUCAAUAAUUACGAUAUCUAGUUUUUUUAGAAAUAAAUUUAAUUUAACUAUUAAAUAUGUUUAUAAUUAAUUUUUUUUUUAAUUAUUAAAUUUAAUAGAAAAAAUUUAAGGGAUUAGCUUUAAAUUUAAGUUUUAAAAAUAAAAAAAAUUAAAUUUUAUGUGUAUAAAUUAUAGAUUUAAAAAUAGUUAUUAAUUAAAGUAUAUAAUAAUAUAUUUAUGCGUAUGUAUAAUGAUUUUUUUUUUGUUUUAAUUAAUGUAUAAAAAUAAUAUAAUUAAUUAUUAAUUAUAAAUAAUAAUGAUAAAAUUAUUAUAUAAAUAUUAAAUUUAUGUAUAAAAGUUAUAAAGAUUUAUAUAUAUAUAUAUAUUAUAUAUAUAUAUAUAUAUAUAUAUAUAUAUAUUUAAAAUAUAAUUAUAAGGAAUUAGACAAAAAUAAAUAUCUACCUGUUUAACAAAAACAUGUCUUUUUGAUUUUAAUUUAAAGUCUGAUCUGCCCAAUGAAAAAUUUUAUUUAAAUGGCCGCGGUAUUUUGACCGUGCAAAGGUAGCAUAAUCAUUAGUUUUUUAAUUGAAAGCUUGUAUGAACGAUUGAAUAAGAUAUUAAUUGUCUCAUAAUUAAUUAAAUUAAAAUUUAAUUUUUAAAUUAAAAAGUUUAAAUUUCAUUAAAGGACGAGAAGACCCUAUAGAUUUUAAUAAAAAAUUAAUUAUUUUUAAUUAAAUAUUAAUAUUAAAAAUAAUAUAUAUUUUAUUUUGUUGGGGUGACAUUAAAAUUUAAUAAACUUUUAAUUUAUUUUAUUCAUAAAUGAAUGUAUUAAUUAUAUAAUAAAUAUAUAUAUAUAUAUAUAUAUAUAUAUAUAUAUAUAUAUAUAAUUAUACUUAUUAAGCGCAAUAAAUUAAUAGGUAUGAAAUAAAAGAAAAAUAAUUUUUUGAUCCUGAAUUUUAGAUUAUAAAAAUAAAAUACCUUAGGGAUAACAGCGUAAUUUAUUUGGAGAGAUCAUAUUAAUAAAUAAGUUUGCGACCUCGAUGUUGAAUUAAGAUAAUACUUAGGUGGAGAUACUUAAGAUUUUAGGUCUGUUCGACCUUUAAAUUCUUACAUGAUUUGAGUUCAGAUCGGCGUGAGCCAGAUCGGAUUCUAUCCUUAAUAAAUUAAAAAUAUUUUUGUACGAAAGGACUUUAUAUUUUAAAUAAUUUAAAAAUUUAUUGAUAAAAAUUAAUAAUAUAAUAAAAAAAA
Molecule: ribosomal RNA, 1552 nt
Filed under: Syrista parreyssii
Lineage: Eukaryota; Metazoa; Arthropoda; Insecta; Hymenoptera; Cephidae
Description: 16S ribosomal RNA
Source: RNAcentral